Molecule: ribosomal RNA, 473 nt
Filed under: uncultured bacterium
Lineage: Bacteria
Description: bacterial SSU rRNA
Rfam family: Bacterial small subunit ribosomal RNA
Source: RNAcentral
GACAACGGCUGGCGGCGUGCCUAACACAUGCAAGUCGAGCGGAGAUAUAUUGAAGAUUUAUCGGAUAUAUAUCUUAGCGGCGGACGGGUGAGUAACGCGUGGGUAACCUGCCUUAUACAGGGGGAUAACACAGGGAAACUUGUGCUAAUACCGCAUAAUAUCAUUGUAUGGCAUCAUAUGAUGAUCAAAGGAGCAAUCCGGUAUAAGAUGGACCCGCGUCCAAUUAGCUAGUUGGUGGUGUAACGGACCACCAAGGCGACGAUUGGUAGCCGAACUGAGAGGUUGAUCGGCCACAUUGGGACUGAGACACGGCCCAGACUCCUACGGGAGGCAGCAGUGGGGAAUAUUGCACAAUGGGGGAAACCCUGAUGCAGCAACGCCGCGUGAAGGAUGAAGGUUUUCGGAUCGUAAACUUCUUUGAUGAGGGACGAAUAAUGACGGUACCUCAAGAACAAGCCACGGCUAACUACGUG